UUUACUUUGUUAAAAAAAAAAAAAUGAAGCUCCGCUCUAUUUUGAUCUCAGCGUUCUUGUUUUUACUCGCACAUGGUGUUUUUAGUGUUGGCACUGAUGGACUGUCAGCAUUUGUGAUGGAUGAAGAUUCAGUCACUCUACACAGUAAUGUUGAAACAAAACAACAAGAAGAUAUAAAAUGGUAUUUUGAUGACACUAGAAUUGCUCAAAUCACUGGAGAUCUUAGUUUUAUCUGUACAGAUGUUCAGUGUAAUGAAGGUUCUGAGAGAUUCAGAGACAGACUGAAGCUGGAUCAUCAGACUGGAUCUCUGACCAUCACGAACAUCACAACCACAGACUCUGGAGAUUAUGAAUUAAAGAUCAUCAGCAGCA
Molecule: long non-coding RNA, 372 nt
Organism: Cyprinus carpio (common carp)
Lineage: Eukaryota; Metazoa; Chordata; Actinopteri; Cypriniformes; Cyprinidae
Exons: 2
Source: RefSeq, a predicted model, not a curated record